This 356-nucleotide long non-coding RNA is filed under the name Rattus norvegicus (Norway rat). Its description in RNAcentral is "long non-coding RNA NONRATT021525". The record is from RNAcentral. Lineage: Eukaryota; Metazoa; Chordata; Mammalia; Rodentia; Muridae.
CGGCCGCCGCUUUGCAAAGGACAGGCUCACCGCUGCGCUCUCGCCCUUCUCUGGGACACGUCGCAUAGGCCACCCCUAUCAAAACCGGACCCCCCCGAAGCGCAAGAAGCCGCGCACCUCCUUUUCCCGCUCACAGGUGCUGGAGCUGGAGCGCCGCUUCUUGCGCCAGAAGUACCUGGCCUCGGCAGAGAGGGCGGCGCUGGCCAAGGCCCUGCGCAUGACGGACGCACAGGUCAAGACCUGGUUCCAGAACCGACGCACGAAGUGGCGGUGAGGUGCGGGGCGCGGGCGGGCGGAGUGGCGGGGAAGGGCUGGGUUGCCCGCUGACCCCGGCUCUCCGCCCGCCCAGGCGCCAG